UACCAUGCAAGUCGAGCGGUAAGGCCCCUUCGGGGGUACACGAGCGGCGAACGGGUGAGUAACACGUGAGUAAUCUGCCCUUCACUUCGGGAUAACCAUCGGAAACGAUGGCUAAUACCGAAUACGACGCACCGUUGCAUGACGUGUGCGUGGAAAGUUUUGUCGGUGGAGGAUGUGCUCGCGGCCUAUCAGCUAGUUGGUGAGGUAACGGCCCACCAAGGCUUCGACGGGUAGCCGGCCUGAGAGGGUGACCGGCCACACUGGGACUGAGACACGGCCCAGACUCCUACGGGAGGCAGCAGUGGGGAAUAUUGGACAAUGGGCGAAAGCCUGAUCCAGCAACGCCGCGUGAGGGAUGACGGCCUUCGGGUUGUAAACCUCUUUCAGUACCGACGAAGCGCCCCUAGGGGUGGUGACGGUAGGUACAGAAGAAGGACCGGCCAACUACGUGCCAGCAGCCGCGGUAAUACGUAGGGUCCGAGCGUUGUCCGGAAUUAUUGGGCGUAAAGGGCUCGUAGGCGGUUUGUCGCGUCGGGAGUGAAAUUUUACAGCUUAACUGUGAACGUGCUUUCGAUACGGGCAGACUUGAGGCAUUCAGGGGAGAACGGAAUUCCUGGUGUAGCGGUGAAAUGCGCAGAUAUCAGGAGGAACACCGGUGGCGAAGGCGGUUCUCUGGGAAUGUCCUGACGCUGAGGAGCGAAAGUGUGGGGAGCGAACAGGAUUAGAUACCCUGGUAGUCCACACCGUAAACGUUGGGCGCUAGGUGUGGGGUCCAUUCCACGGAUUCCGUGCCGCAGCUAA
RNAcentral lists this ribosomal RNA (801 nucleotides) under Nocardioides sp. RNAcentral describes it as "bacterial SSU rRNA". It matches the Rfam family "Bacterial small subunit ribosomal RNA", at positions 52 to 855 of the family's 1533-position model. The record is from RNAcentral. Lineage: Bacteria; Bacillati; Actinomycetota; Actinomycetes; Propionibacteriales; Nocardioidaceae.